This 676-nucleotide unclassified non-coding RNA is filed under the name Homo sapiens (human). RNAcentral's name for it is "surfeit 2 (ENSG00000281024.3)". The record is from RNAcentral. Lineage: Eukaryota; Metazoa; Chordata; Mammalia; Primates; Hominidae.
GCGGGCGCGUCGGCCAUGAGCGAGUUGCCGGGCGACGUGCGGGCGUUUCUGCGGGAGCACCCGAGCCUGCGGCUCCAGACGGACGCCCGCAAGGUGAGGUGCAUCCUGACAGGUCACGAGCUGCCCUGCCGCCUGCCGGAGCUCCAGGUCUACACCCGCGGCAAAAAGUACCAGCGGCUGGUCCGCGCCUCCCCGGCCUUCGACUAUGCAGAGUUCGAGCCGCACAUCGUGCCCAGCACCAAGAACCCGUAGGUGGUCCGCGGCGGCGCGGGGAGGCCCAGGGCAAUUAGGACAGCCCCUCCGCUGGACUCCGCCAGUGCUGCAGCCCCUACUCUUUCAGAGUUGGGAGCCCUGGGACCCAGGUGGGCGCCCGGGUGCUGGAAUCACCUGCGGUCCCAGCGGCGAGGCCUCUUGGCACCAGUUGUUCUGCAAACUCACCCUGCGGCACAUCAACAAGUGCCCAGAACACGUGCUGAGGCACACCCAGGGCCGGCGGUACCAGCGAGCUCUGUGUAAAUAUGAAGAAUGUCAGAAGCAAGGGGUGGAGUACGUGCCUGCCUGCCUGGUGCACCGGAGGAGGAGGAGGGAGGACCAGAUGGACGGUGACGGGCCUCGCCCGCGGGAAGCCUUCUGGGAGCCCACAUCCAGUGAUGAGGGGGGAGCUGCAAGUGAUGAC